This 433-nucleotide ribosomal RNA is filed under the name uncultured bacterium. Its description in RNAcentral is "partial 16S ribosomal RNA". It matches the Rfam family "Bacterial small subunit ribosomal RNA", at positions 29 to 507 of the family's 1533-position model. The record is from RNAcentral.
AGCGAACGCUGGCGGCAGGCUUAACACAUGCAAGUCGAACGGGCACCUCGGUGCUAGUGGCCGACGGGUGAGUAACACGUGGGAACGUACCUUUCGGUUCGGAAUAAUCCAGGGAAACUUGGACUAAUACCGGAUACGCCCUUCGGGGGAAAGAUUCAUCGCCGAUAGAUCGGCCCGCGUCUGAUUAGCUAGUUGGUGAGGUAAUGGCUCACCAAGGCGACGAUCAGUAGCUGGUCUGAGAGGAUGAUCAGCCACAUUGGGACUGAGACACGGCCCAAACUCCUACGGGAGGCAGCAGUGGGGAAUAUUGGACAAUGGGCGCAAGCCUGAUCCAGCCAUGCCGCGUGAGUGAUGAAGGCCUUAGGGUUGUAAAGCUCUUUUGUCCGGGAAGAUAAUGACUGUACCGGAAGAAUAAGCCCCGGCUAACUUCGUG